GUGAAUCAUCGAAUUUUUGAACGCAAAUUGCACUCUCCUCGGAGAGUAUGCCUGUUUGAGGGUCAGCCUAUAAAAAAUCAACAUCUUUGCGGUUUCGCGGUGGCGUUCGUCGGAAAUGGGGGCAUCUUAAAUCUUUUGGUUUUAAUCUGCUUAAAAUUUUCUUUUUGUUUCCAUUAACGUUUCUAAGAUUUAUUUCUUUACACGUUUAAGGUAUCUAUUUUUAUUAAACGUGUCCUUUGCAUCGGAUCACUUCCAUAAAUAUUUCGUUAA
RNAcentral lists this unclassified non-coding RNA (270 nucleotides) under Glomus sp. RNAcentral's name for it is "partial contains 5.8S ribosomal RNA and internal transcribed spacer 2". The stretch from base 1 to 65 matches the Rfam family "5.8S ribosomal RNA", at positions 84 to 154 of the family's 154-position model. The record is from RNAcentral. Lineage: Eukaryota; Fungi; Glomeromycota; Glomeromycetes; Glomerales; Glomeraceae.